UCCGGCUUGUCACCGGCAGUUCCUCUAGAGUGCCCACCCAAACGUGCUGGCAACUAGAGGCGAGGGUUGCGCUCGUUGCGGGACUUAACCCAACAUCUCACGACACGAGCUGACGACAGCCAUGCAGCACCUGUGCAUCAGGUCCCUUGCGGGAAAGGUGCAUCUCUGCACCGGUCCUGACCAUGUCAAGAGCUGGUAAGGUUCUGCGCGUUGCUUCGAAUUAAGCCAUAUGCUCCACCGCUUGUGCGGGCCCCCGCCAAUUCCUUUGAGUUUUAGCCUUGCGGCCGUACUCCCCAGGCGGGGCACUUAAUGCGUUAGCUUCGACACGGACGGAGUCGACACCGCCCACAUCUAGUGCCCAUCGUUUACGGCGUGGACUAC
This 381-nucleotide unclassified non-coding RNA is filed under the name uncultured Pseudomonadota bacterium. RNAcentral describes it as "uncultured proteobacterium contains 16S-23S intergenic spacer region". The record is from RNAcentral. Lineage: Bacteria; Pseudomonadati; Pseudomonadota.